UCACACCUCCUCCUCCUUCUUCCCCUUGUGUGGAUGUGAGCAUCCCUCCUCUGCUGUAUGUGAUACACGCUCAGCAGCGCUUACAUUGCUUACAGCAUGCAGGCUCUGCGAUGUUGCCAGGCUGCUUCUACGAGCUGCCUGCAGUCGUGGGAUAUGUGAGCCUUGAAUGGCUGCAGACAUCAGCUUCUUGUCUAUGGCUCCAAAAACCCUGAUUUAUCCUUUCCCUUACCAAGUAAAGGUAUGCUGAGGCUGCAGGUGAACUUCUAGGUCCUAAUGCCGUUUCUUUCCAUUUGUGGGAUAAAAGAGUCACCUCCGAGACCAGCAAAAUCCACGCAAGGAAUCAAACCUUUCCUUCUUCUAUUGGACUUCACCGGGAGGCAAGUGACACAGGAUCUUUGAACAGCAGGCUUUUGGAAAUCAUGGGUUUUUGCAGUGGCAGGUGCACACUCAUGUUUAUUUGUGGGAUGCAACUGGCAUGUAUACUGGAGAGACAAAUAUUUGACUUCUUGGGCUACCAGUGGGCACCUAUCCUGGCAAAUUUUGUUCAUAUCAUUAUUGUCAUUCUUGGAAUAUUUGGAACCAUCCAGUGUAGAACACGAUAUAUAACAGGAUAUGCUGUCUGGCUCGUGGUGUGGAUAGCUUGGAAUGUAUUUAUUAUCUGUUUCUAUUUGGAAGCUGGGGACCUUUCCAGGGAAAGAGACCUUUUUAUGACAUUUAAUAUAUCAAUGCAUCGUUCCUGGUGGAUGGAAAAUGGUCCAGGAUGCAUGGUUACCUCAGUAACGCCAGCUCCAGAGUGGGCACCAGAAGAUCAUCGUUACAUUACUAUCUCUGAGUGCUUGCUAGAGUACCAGUAUAUAGAAGUGGCACACAGCUCCCUUCAGAUCUUUUUUGCUCUCGCUGGUUUCAUCUAUGCCUGUUAUGUCUUGAAAUGUAUUUCUGAAGAAGAGGACAGUUUUGAUUUCAUAGGUGGCUUUGACUCCUAUGGCUACCAGGGUCCUCAGAAGACAUCGCACUUACAGCUGCAGCCCAUGUAUAUCUUGGCCUGUUAAAGGAAGUGGAAAAAUACCAGAUCAAUUGGCAAGACAGAUCUACUUUAACGCCCAACUCCAGGACCCCUCUAUAUUUUUGAGCUGAUAGAGGAGUAGAUUCUUAGGUCAAAGUAACAAAGGCAGAUCAUCAAUGUAGAAGUUUAAAGGGGCAUUCACAUAAAUUGCUUCCUGGAAACAUUCCCUUGGAUUGUAUAAAGAGGGCAAGAAAGUAUACGUGAUUGUAUUUUCUUCUCCUUGGAUCAGAAUGAUGCUAGUUCUCACAGUACACAAGUGGAUGUAUUUGCAGAUGCAAAUAUUGCAGUCCUGGGAAGAUGGAAAACUGUUGUAUUGCUGGUGCUUUGGUGCCCUCUACUGGAAGUCUCUCUGCUUUUCCUUCUUUUUGCACUGGUAGCUCUAACUCCGCCACUUUGAGUUACAACAAGAUGUUUGCACAGACAGUAAUGACAUAAAAGAGACCUAAGUGUUAUGAUCAAUCUGGACAUCAAAGACUGUGAAUUAAACUAAAAGUGCCAUAAAUGCCGCCUGAGUUUGAGGCAGUGGGACGUAUUAGGUUUGUUUUGCAGGCAGCCACAUCACGUGCCUGUAUUUUGCCUUAACCCAGCCAAAAUGUGAUUGUCAGAGGAGGAAAAUCUGUAAAGAACGUUACCCGCGAGGGCUUGCUGUAGGACGUUGAUCGCCUUCGCAAAAGGCUUCCACCAUCUGCAUCUUCGUCGCUGCUCUGGGGAUCCGACACUCUGAUUGGACUGCACGUUUGAUAGGACCUCUCUAUAGCAUCACACUUCCAAACAGAAUAUAGCAGUUGGGUGGCUCAGAAGUAUUGCCUUUAAGUUUUGAUUGACAAGCUUUCCUAGUUCAGAUAGUAUUUGUAAAAGAUUGACAGAGGUGCUAUGUCAGUAUAGUAAUUUAUGAUGUUGGUAUUAAAUGCGAUCGUAGUAUAUGGCAAUAAAAAGCCCAAAUAUUACAUUUGUAAAUGCCAUAUGGCUAUUCACAACAAAGCUUCAUAAUUGAAAUUAAUAUUAUUUACGCUAGAAAGCCAUUAGUCCUGUGAUUCUGGAUCCCCCAAAUGCAUGAUGCCCAACUUCCCGAAGGUCUGUCCCAUUGCAUUAGGCAAAGGAGUCGUGCAUUGCUGUGCAAUGUCUCCCAUAACUUCUUACCCAAAUUAUUCUAACUUAGGGCAAAGAUUUUUCUUAAUAUUCCAUAAAACAUGCUGAGUAGAAAGCGUCAGAAAAAAAAGGCUGCUCUUUUGUCAUUGUUUUUAUCUUUUGCCACUGUUGGUGUUUUUUAUGUGACUUGUCUUUUACAAAAUAAAGUGAACAUCUAAAGAUUUCUAUAGAAAAUCAAUUAAACGUUUAUUUAGUAUGAAUAUUUUAUACUUACGUUAUAUGUAUAAUAUGGUGGAUGUGCUUUUUUCAUGAUAUAAGAAAACGGUUUCUUUUGUGAAUAUCUGGAACUUUGUGAUGUCUGGGGAAUUUGUUAGUAUAUUAAAAUGCAUAUUUUAUCUUCCUGUAA
Molecule: RNA transcript, 2558 nt
Organism: Rana temporaria (common frog)
Lineage: Eukaryota; Metazoa; Chordata; Amphibia; Anura; Ranidae
Gene: NKAIN2
Gene name: sodium/potassium transporting ATPase interacting 2
Exons: 10
Source: RefSeq, a predicted model, not a curated record